This 253-nucleotide ribosomal RNA is filed under the name uncultured bacterium. RNAcentral describes it as "partial 16S ribosomal RNA". It matches the Rfam family "Bacterial small subunit ribosomal RNA", at positions 524 to 776 of the family's 1533-position model. The record is from RNAcentral.
UACGAAGGGUGCAAGCGUCACUCGGAAUUACUGGGCGUAAAGGGUGCGUAGGCGGUCGGGUAAGUCUGAUGUGAAAUCUCACAGCUUAACUGUGAAACUGCAUUGGAUACUAUCCGGCUCGAGGAAUGGAGGGGAGACUGGAAUACUUGGUGUAGCAGUGAAAUGCGUAGAUAUCAAGUGGAACACCAGUGGUGAAGGCGAGUCUCUGGACAUUUCCUGACGCUGAGGCACGAAAGCCAGGGGAGCAAACGGG